RNAcentral lists this ribosomal RNA (495 nucleotides) under Triticum aestivum (bread wheat). RNAcentral's name for it is "partial small subunit ribosomal RNA". The record is from RNAcentral. Lineage: Eukaryota; Viridiplantae; Streptophyta; Magnoliopsida; Poales; Poaceae.
AUGGAGGGCUCCACCCACGAAGGGUCCACGAAGAAGCAACCUUGUCUAUCCCACCAUGGCUGUCGCCCACGAAGGACUUGCCUCACUAGGGUAGAUCUUCAUGAAGUAGGCGAUCUCCUUGCCCUUACAAACUCCUUGGUUCAACUCCACAAUCUUGUCGGAGGCUCCCAAGUGACACCUAGCCAAUCUAGGAGACACCACUCUCCAAGAAGUAACAAAUGGUGUGUUGAUGAUGAACUCCUUGCUCUUGUGCUUCAAAUGAUAGUCUCCCCAACACUCAACUCUCUCUCACAGGAUUUGGAUUUGGUGGAAAGAAGAUUUGAGUGGAAAGCAACUUGGGGAAGGCUAGAGAUCAAGAUUCAUAUGGUAGGAAUGGAAUAUCUUGGUCUCAACAUAAGUGUAGGUGGCUCUCUCUCAGAAAAUGUAGGUUGGAAGUGUAGGCACGUUCUGAUGGCUCUCUCCACGAAUGAAGAGUGGGUGGAGGGGUAUAUAUAG